GUAUCAUGGCUCAGGAUGAACGCUAGCGACAGGCUUAACACAUGCAAGUCGAGGGGCAUCUAUGUAGGUAGCAAUACCUUGAUGGCGACCGGCGCACGGGUGAGUAACGCGUAUGCAACCUGCCUGAUACCGGGGUAUAGCCCAUGGAAACGUGGAUUAACACCCCAUAGUACUUUUAUCCUGCAUGGGAUGUGAGUUAAAUGUUUAAGGUAUCGGAUGGGCAUGCGUCCUAUUAGG
RNAcentral lists this ribosomal RNA (237 nucleotides) under uncultured bacterium. RNAcentral's name for it is "partial 16S ribosomal RNA". It matches the Rfam family "Bacterial small subunit ribosomal RNA", at positions 14 to 245 of the family's 1533-position model. The record is from RNAcentral.